AUUAAUUAGACAAACGCAGUGCCAGUCAGGCUCUGCCGCCAUCUCCUCCUCAGAGGUCAGCUCCAUCAGGUCCCUGCUAGAGACUCUUUUAUUUUUUUUUCCAUCUUUUUAAAAGAAAACUUAAUCUCCUAACAAGACAUCCCCAAAACAAUUCAUGGCGUGCCAGCAGAGCAAGUACAUACAAGCAUGCUCUGCAGAGGUUCCAGGAACCCACCAGGGCCUCCCUUCUACCUGUCCAGACAGAUGCUGCUCCAGGAAGAAUGCUGGCCUCCACACUGGUCCUUCCUCAUCAGAGACGCUGCUCCAGAUGCCUGCCCCCAUGGGAAGAGAGUGUGAGAGUGGCCUCUCUUAUCAUUCCACACUCGUUCCUUGAGCUAGUUACAUCCUAGCAGCCCUGAGGACAAACAGGUGAUCAUAGUACCACCUAAAAGACUUGUUAGUGCUGAUGGCUCCACUUGCUGCUUCGGCUCUGUGGGUCUGUAUGGGGCUCCAGUCAUCAAGCAUGAGGACUCCUCAGCCUAGGACCCCUCCACAAUCGGGGCACGCAUGCUUCUGCUCCUCACUAAGUUAUUUUAUGCAACAGGUAUGCACACCACUCAUUUCAAACACAACUAAUUUUUGUCUUCUGGCCUUAACGAUCUUGGCUUAAACAUGAUGGAGAAUGACCAAAGAUGGAAAUGAAGGCAGAACUGUUACAGCCCUCCUCCCUAGCCUCCAUGCCAGUCAGCUUCAUUUCUUCAAAUGCUGAAGCUGCAGGAAGCAAACCUCACCACAAACCCACAGCCACUGUU
Long non-coding RNA from Mastomys coucha (southern multimammate mouse), 791 nucleotides. RefSeq lists it as uncharacterized. The transcript is spliced from 3 exons. Lineage: Eukaryota; Metazoa; Chordata; Mammalia; Rodentia; Muridae. The record is from RefSeq and is a predicted model, not a curated record.